AGCAGUAGCCGCGGGAAUACGGAGGGGGCUAGCGUUGUUCGGAAUUACUGGGCGUAAAGCGCACGUAGGCGGCUUGGUAAGUUAGAGGUGAAAGCCCGGAGCUCAACUCCGGAAUUGCCUUUAAGACUGCCGAGCUAGCAGGUGAGAGAGGUAAGUGGAAUUCCGAGUGUAGAGGUGAAAUUCGUAGAUAUUCGGAAGAACACCAGUGGCGAAGGCGGCUUACUGGCUCAUACUGGACGCUGAGGUGCGAAAGCGUGGGGAGCAAACAGGAUUAGAUACCCCGGUAGUCCCUGUCUCUUAUAC
RNAcentral lists this ribosomal RNA (303 nucleotides) under uncultured bacterium. RNAcentral describes it as "partial 16S ribosomal RNA". It matches the Rfam family "Bacterial small subunit ribosomal RNA", at positions 507 to 807 of the family's 1533-position model. The record is from RNAcentral.